UGGGGAAUAUUGGACAAUGGGGGAAACCCUGAUCCAGCGACGCCGCGUGAGUGAAGAAGUAUUUCGGUAUGUAAAGCUCUAUCAGCAGGGAAGAUAAUGACAGUACCUGACUAAGAAGCCCCGGCUAACUACGUGCCAGCAGCCGCGGUAAUACGUAGGGGGCAAGCGUUAUCCGGAUUUACUGGGUGUAAAGGGAGCGUAGGUGGUAAGUCAAGUCAGAUGUGAAAACCCAGGGCUCAACCCUGGGACUGCAUUUGAAACUGGCUUACUAGAGUGCAGGAGAGGUAAGUGGAAUUCCUAGUGUAGCGGUGAAAUGCGUAGAUAUUAGGAGGAACACCAGUGGCGAAGGCGGCUUACUGGACUGUAACUGACACUGAGGCUCGAAAGCGUGGGGAGCAAACA
This 402-nucleotide ribosomal RNA is filed under the name uncultured bacterium. RNAcentral describes it as "bacterial SSU rRNA". It matches the Rfam family "Bacterial small subunit ribosomal RNA", at positions 355 to 774 of the family's 1533-position model. The record is from RNAcentral.